Molecule: non-coding RNA, 680 nt
Organism: Danio rerio (zebrafish)
Lineage: Eukaryota; Metazoa; Chordata; Actinopteri; Cypriniformes; Danionidae
Source: Ensembl
GAAGAGAACUGCUCUGCUCCAGUAGGAGACCCACAACCCUCUGAUGAGCUUGUAUUGAAAGUUGACCAUAUGACAGAGGAAGAGAACUGCUCUGCUCCAGUACGUGACCCACAAAUCUCUGAUGAGCUUGUAUUGAAAGUUGACCAUAUGACAGAGGAAGAGAACUGCUCUGCUCCAGUACGUGACCCACAACUCUCUGAUGAGCUUUUAUUGAAGUAUGACCAUAUGACAGAGGAAGAGAACUGCUCUGCUCCAGUAGGAGACCCACAACUCUGAUGAGAGAAAGUUACAGUGGAUCGUGAUUUUGGAGAAGGUGAAGUCCAAUCUAAAAGAGUCCCCUCAAGUAUCAUCACCAUGGUACAGUGUCUGUGAAGAUAGUGAUGCAGACCCAGCAUUCACAAAAAAGAGAGGUCCCACAAAGAGAAGAUCCUGGAGCAAACAGGAAGUACAUGCUGUGGUGAAACCUGAACCAUUGGCUCUAAAAACCAGAGAUUGGUCAGCUUUGGAUUUUUAUAUUAAAAACUGAAUCUCGACUCUGAAUAACACUUUCAUAGUAACUACACACUAUACAUCAUUAGUUUAGCACUAACUCUACAUAAAUAGACUUUAGGAAGCAGUUUAUAAAUACAGCUUCAAACGCUGUAUUCUUGACUUGACUAAAUUGUAUUUUCAUGCUUUGU